UGGGGAAUUUUGGACAAUGGGCGCAAGCCUGAUCCAGCCAUGCCGCGUGCGGGAAGAAGGCCUUCGGGUUGUAAACCGCUUUGUCAGGGAAGAAAUCUUCUGAGUUAAUACCUCGGGAGGAUGACGGUACCUGAAGAAUAAGCACCGGCUAACUACGUGCCAGCAGCCGCGGUAAUACGUAGGGUGCAAGCGUUAAUCGGAAUUACUGGGCGUAAAGCGUGCGCAGGCGGUUUUGUAAGACAGAGGUGAAAUCCCCGGGCUCAACCUGGGAACUGCCUUUGUGACUGCAAGGCUUGAGUGCGGCAGAGGGGGAUGGAAUUCCGCGUGUAGCAGUGAAAUGCGUAGAUAUGCGGAGGAACACCGAUGGCGAAGGCAAUCCCCUGGGCCUGCACUGACGCUCAUGCACGAAAGCGUGGGGAGCAAAACAGGAUUAGAUACCCUGGUAGUCCACGCCCUAAAACGAUGUCAACUGGUUGUUGGG
RNAcentral lists this ribosomal RNA (481 nucleotides) under uncultured bacterium. RNAcentral describes it as "partial 16S ribosomal RNA". It matches the Rfam family "Bacterial small subunit ribosomal RNA", at positions 355 to 827 of the family's 1533-position model. The record is from RNAcentral.